This is a small nuclear RNA of Gracilinanus agilis (Agile Gracile Mouse Opossum), 129 nucleotides long. The record is from RefSeq and is a predicted model, not a curated record. Lineage: Eukaryota; Metazoa; Chordata; Mammalia; Didelphimorphia; Didelphidae.
GCAUUGUGUGAAAGGAGAGGUUAUUUGUAUGAAAGUUUGAUAAAGAUGGAAGAGGUCCUAGUAGCCUUUACGACAUACAUAUGGUUAAAGCAUUGCCACCUACUCUGUGGCAUCUAACCAUGUUUUCUU